RNAcentral lists this transfer RNA (774 nucleotides) under uncultured cyanobacterium. RNAcentral's name for it is "partial contains 16S ribosomal RNA, 16S-23S ribosomal RNA intergenic spacer, and 23S ribosomal RNA". The stretch from base 268 to 340 matches the Rfam family "tRNA". The record is from RNAcentral. Lineage: Bacteria; Bacillati; Cyanobacteriota.
CAGGGAGACAACACAAUGAUUUUGAUGCCUGAGUGCUUUUAUUCUUAGGCCGAAAUCCUGUCACCUUAGGUCGAUCGGUACCUCAGCUUUGAAGUCAAGGAUCAGCAGCAAUGUUGAUUGCUUGAUGGAGAUUUUCAGUUCCUAAACUCUGUCUAGGUCACACCCCAAAAGGGAUGAGACUCCUGGGCCAUUAGCUCAGGUGGUUAGAGCGCACCCCUGAUAAGGGUGAGGUCCCUGGUUCAAGUCCAGGAUGGCCCAUUCGGUGUUGGGGGUUUAGCUCAGUUGGUAGAGCGCCUGCUUUGCAAGCAGGAUGUCAGGAGUUCGAGUCUCCUAACCUCCACUGACCGAACUUGAUUCCCAUCUCCAAUUUUUUGGAGUUGAGCUCGAUUGGAGUGUGAUUUAGAUGUGUCCGCUGGAUGACCCCAGCUUCCUGUCAUUCCAAGUUUUAGGUUGGUGCCUUGAAUUUGGUUGAUAAGAUGCUGGGCUCGGAUCAAAUGAUCAAGCAAUUGAUGAUUUGAUUUGAGGUUCUAGCAGAACCUUGACAACUGCAUAGGUGAGUCUGGAAAAAACAAAGCAUCUUACAGAUGCAUUGUUUUGAAUCUGAUCUUCUGAAAGGGAGAUUGGAUCUAGAACAAUGAAAAUUCUUUUGAGCAAGAGCCGAGACUCUUGAGCGUUCUUUGAUUGGUGUCGAGCCAAUCAGAGUUUGAUCUUGUUUUUAGCAAUAAAAACUUGAGAAUCUGCUUUCAACGGCGGUAAGCGUUCAGGAGGUUAAUU